RNAcentral lists this ribosomal RNA (793 nucleotides) under Lactobacillus delbrueckii subsp. delbrueckii. RNAcentral describes it as "bacterial SSU rRNA". It matches the Rfam family "Bacterial small subunit ribosomal RNA", at positions 60 to 822 of the family's 1533-position model. The record is from RNAcentral. Lineage: Bacteria; Bacillati; Bacillota; Bacilli; Lactobacillales; Lactobacillaceae.
GGUCGAGCGAGCUGAAUUCAAAGAUCCCUUCGGGGUGAUUUGUUGGACGCUAGCGGCGGAUGGGUGAGUAACACGUGGGCAAUCUGCCCUAAAGACUGGGAUACCACUUGGAAACAGGUGCUAAUACCGGAUAACAACAUGAAUCGCAUGAUUCAAGUUUGAAAGGCGGCGCAAGCUGUCACUUUAGGAUGAGCCCGCGGCGCAUUAGCUAGUUGGUGGGGUAAAGGCCUACCAAGGCAAUGAUGCGUAGCCGAGUUGAGAGACUGAUCGGCCACAUUGGGACUGAGACACGGCCCAAACUCCUACGGGAGGCAGCAGUAGGGAAUCUUCCACAAUGGACGCAAGUCUGAUGGAGCAACGCCGCGUGAGUGAAGAAGGUCUUCGGAUCGUAAAGCUCUGUUGUUGGUGAAGAAGGAUAGAGGCAGUAACUGGUCUUUAUUUGACGGUAAUCAACCAGAAAGUCACGGCUAACUACGUGCCAGCAGCCGCGGUAAUACGUAGGUGGCAAGCGUUGUCCGGAUUUAUUGGGCGUAAAGCGAGCGCAGGCGGAAUGAUAAGUCUGAUGUGAAAGCCCACGGCUCAACCGUGGAACUGCAUCGGAAACUGUCAUUCUUGAGUGCAGAAGAGGAGAGUGGAACUCCAUGUGUAGCGGUGGAAUGCGUAGAUAUAUGGAAGAACACCAGUGGCGAAGGCGGCUCUCUGGUCUGCAACUGACGCUGAGGCUCGAAAGCAUGGGUAGCGAACAGGAUUAGAUACCCUGGUAGUCCAUGCCGUAAACGAUGAGCGCUAGGUG